RNAcentral lists this ribosomal RNA (301 nucleotides) under uncultured bacterium. RNAcentral describes it as "partial 16S ribosomal RNA". It matches the Rfam family "Bacterial small subunit ribosomal RNA", at positions 509 to 807 of the family's 1533-position model. The record is from RNAcentral.
CAGCAGCCACGGUAAUACGAAGGGUGCAAGCGUUACUCGGAAUUACUGGGCGUAAAGCGUGCGUAGGUGGUGGUUUAAGUCCGUUGUGAAAGCCCUGGGCUCAACCUGGGAAUUGCAGUGGAUACUGGGUCACUAGAGUGUGGUAGAGGAUAGUGGAAUUUCCGGUGUAGCAGUGAAAUGCGUAGAGAUCGGAAGGAACAUCUGUGGCGAAGGCGACUAUCUGGGCCAACACUGACACUGAGGCACGAAAGCGUGGGGAGCAAACAGGAUUAGAUACCCGUGUAGUCCCUGUCUCUUAUAC